This 468-nucleotide ribosomal RNA is filed under the name uncultured bacterium. RNAcentral describes it as "partial 16S ribosomal RNA". It matches the Rfam family "Bacterial small subunit ribosomal RNA", at positions 28 to 507 of the family's 1533-position model. The record is from RNAcentral.
GACGAACGCUGGCGGCGUGCUUAACACAUGCAAGUCGAACGGAAAGGCGCUGCUCUUGUGGGGUGCUCGAGUGGCGAACGGGUGAGUAACACGUGAGUAACCUGCCCUUGACUUUGGGAUAAAUUCAGGAAACUGGGGCUAAUACCGGAUAGGAGCUCCUGCUGCAUGGUGGGGGUUGGAAAGUUUCGGCGGUUGUGGAUGGACUCGCGGCUUAUCAGCUUGUUGGUGGGGUAGGUGCGUACCAAGGCUUUGACGGGUAGCCGGCCUGAGAGGGUGACCGGCCACAUUGGGACUGCGAUACGGCCCAGAAGCCUACGGGAGGCAGCAGUGGGGAAUAUUGCACAGUGGCGGGGAGCCUGAUGCAGCGACGCCGCGUGCGGGAUGACGUCCUUCGGGUUGUAAACCGCUUUCGCCUGUGACGUGGCGUGAUUGACGGUAAUUGGUCAAGAAGCACCGGCUAACUACGUG